RNAcentral lists this long non-coding RNA (1404 nucleotides) under Durio zibethinus. Its description in RNAcentral is "long non-coding RNA (DZIB_LNC000999)". The record is from RNAcentral. Lineage: Eukaryota; Viridiplantae; Streptophyta; Magnoliopsida; Malvales; Malvaceae.
UUUUAAAUUAGGCAUUUGGGCUUUUUUUAAAAUGCUAAGCUAUUCUUCAUCUCGUCUUUCGCCUCUUGGUUUAAUAGUUAAGAAGCUUUAAGAAAGACACGUGGGUGGGUUCUAAUCCCGCCAUGUCCUUUUCCUUUGUAUGGGCAUUUGCCCUCAUUUGAAUAAAAAAAAAAAAAAAGCUAUUCUUUAUCUUUUUCUAGCCUAUCAUUUUUCUAUCUUUAUCUUGUAAUUUGUAAGCCAUUUCUCCUCUAUGAAUGAUUGCUAUAAUAUUAGAACUCACCUCACAGAUAAAGUGAAUGUGAAUAUUUUUCAUAUCACUUGAUUAAAAACUUCAUCGUCAAGUAUUUUAAGAUCAUAUUCUUUAAAGAAAUGUUUAUCAUAAGAUGAAUUGAUUUAAACUCUCAAAAUUGUUAUAAUUAAGGAUACAACAAUUAAUAUAUAUAGUAAGCUUUCUUAAGCAUCCAACUUAAUUAAUCAAACUGAGGAGAUUUAAUUUAAAUGUAAAAUCACAUAAACUUUAAGAUAUAAUAAAUGUGAGAUAAUUUUAUUUUAACAAGCUAUCAUCUCAUGUAGGUGUAACUACACGUGAUAAUAUCAAAAGGGAUAUAAAGCAAGAAUAAUAAAACAGAAUUUAAGCAUCUAAUAUUAUGAUAAACAUCAUAUUUAAAACAAAUGGGACAUAAAUGGAGAAGUCAAAUUUAAAUAUAAAAUUAUAAGAAAUUUAAAUUUCAAAAUAUGUGAAAUAAUAUCACUUUAAUAAAUUUAAAGAACGAUUGAAUGUAAAACUAUUAAUUAUUAUAUCACUAAUUAAAAAAAUUUAAUUAGUAUUAUAUAAUAAUGUAAGGUCCAAAUAAAUAAAAGUUAACAAUAAAGGGAAAUGAAUAAGGAAGUUACUUGAAAAUGAGGUAUCAAAAAUCCCGUGAUGCAGAGAUGAUACGCAUAUGAAUAUGAUGAGCUGCGAUUGAAUGAUUUGAACGUGAACAAUAGGCAACCGACACCGCCACCGGCAUCCUUCUAUACCAAAACAAAAUUCACUAAACUACUUAAAUAAUGUCAUGCCCAGUCGUUGACUAUUCAUUAGAAGUCAAUACUAAGCUUCACAUGCUUAUCCAUUGCUUGCAUGAGUAAAUUAUGGUAUGUAUGAUCCCUUAUCUUUGAAUUUAAGUCAAUUAAUCCAAACUUAUAGAUAAACCAUUUUUUUCCAUUUUUUUAGAGGAAAAAAAUUGUUCGUAUUUUAAUUCGUUCUUUAGGGGGGUAUUGAUCGAGUUGCCAAGAAGUUCAUUUCAAGUCUAUAAUAUUGAAUUAAUUGAUGAUGCAACUUCUUCAGCUUUUAAUAUGUAACUUAAUAUUUGAAUACUUUUGAGGAUAGAGGUAAGAAAAUGUGCAAAUAAAGGUGUUCAUAAG